This 22-nucleotide microRNA is filed under the name Echinops telfairi (small Madagascar hedgehog). RNAcentral's name for it is "Ete-Mir-10-P2d_3p* (star (passenger))". The record is from RNAcentral. Lineage: Eukaryota; Metazoa; Chordata; Mammalia; Afrosoricida; Tenrecidae.
CAAGCUUGUGUCUACAGGUAUG